Scylla paramamosain (green mud crab) is the source of this 3912-nucleotide RNA transcript. It is a transcript of the gene named ran-specific GTPase-activating protein-like, with no coding region annotated. NCBI's taxonomy places the organism in Eukaryota, Metazoa, Arthropoda, Malacostraca, Decapoda, Portunidae. The record is from RefSeq and is a predicted model, not a curated record. The transcript is spliced from 13 exons.
CUCUCUCUCUCUCUCUCUCUCUCUCUCUAGUGUGACCCGCUACAUCAGCAGGAGAGAGUGGCAACAUGGCGUGCAAAGGGUAACACAACAACAAGCACCACAAGAUGGCCAACACACACAAGACACGCACACAACACACACAAAGCCACUCUGUCAAAACAAACAAAUCAUUCAAAACUUUUAUCGCUGAAAAAAAAGAAAAACAAAAAUAAAUCCCUGAAAUGUGCAGCAGGGGUAGCAAAAUGGCGGAGGAGCAAACCAGUGUGGCAAACCAAUAUGGCGUCUGCCUUUUCAGCAAACGUACAAAAAUUCAGUAUUCACCAUUACAACCAAUUGAAAGAGCCAAGAAGCGAGCCAAACAAGUAAACACCCCUACAAACAUGGAGCCUCCCAACAAACACCCAACAAACACCCAACAAACACCCUCAAAUAAGCCAAAGGAUUACCAACAUGGCGGACAAGUGGUGGCGUCAGUACUCGCCCCUGCUUCUCAUCAUCGACUUGGAAUCUAUGCCACUGACAAACCGUCCACUAUUUUCAAAGUCUUCUUGAGCGUCCACUCUCAAUAUGUGAGGCUCCCUGGAGGUGAGUCUGGCCAGAACACCCUCACCUGAGAGAGAGAGAGAGAGAGAGAGAGAGAGAGAGAGAGAGAGAGAGAGAGAGUUGGGGUUCGUGAGUGUGAGUGAGAGGGGAGGGAACUUGUGGGUCUGGUGAGCGCUGGCAACUCCCUGGGUGAGGAUGGACUGGUGGUGGUGGUGGUGGUAGUAGCGGUUGGAAGGCGAGCGUGCGAGCAGGCGCGGUGUUGUGUGUUCCUCAGUGCAGGUGGUGCAUCACAGCGUCACAGACUCACCUAGGUAGCCUAGCUGAGGCAUCGACGCGUGGACGGCGCUGAUGGCGGCCAGAACCUCUUGGGCGUCUUGGUCACACACGGCCAGGCGGAGCCACCCCAGACUCCGGUACUCCUGCAGCAGCUGUGUGCCGGCACCACUUAGGUGACCCGUGAACCACUCAAGAAGCAGUUGGCCAAAAUAAUAAUUGCAGAAGUUAAGACUAAGCUUUGAAGAAAGAACAUGUCGUAAAGUAUUACUGGAGGCACGAAAAUGUCAAAGAAGUGCAAAGACAAUUCAGAAGACACUUUGACAGGGAUCCACCAAGAAACAGUUGGCCAAAAUAAUAAUGUCAGAAGUAAGAGUAAGCUCUGAAGGAAGAACAUCUGUCAUAAAGUGUUACUGGAGGCACGAAAAUGUCAAAGAAGUGCAAAGACAAUUCAGAAGACACUUUGACAGGGAUCCACCAAGAUUUGCAUCAACCAGCAGCAGCAGCAGCAGCAGCAUGUCAGUAGUAGCAGGAGUAGUGAAUGGUCACUCGUAUGUGGUGACUACUUGUACUAUCAGGCCGCCCUUGUAGUGUGCUGGACUAUUGGUCAACAAGGAGCCCUGAAAGUUACGUGGUACAACUAUUUCGGCGAUAGUAAUGGCUGUUAAGAACGUGGCGAGGCGAAGGUUUACCCCGGCGGCCAUCUUUGUUUUGGGAAUGGUCUUGUUCUAUUGGAUGAGCAGAACUUUGAGAUUUGCAUCAACCAUCACCAGCAGCAGUAGCAGCAGCAGCAUGGCAGUAGUAGCAGGAGUAGUGAAUGGUCACACGUAUGUGGUGACUACUUGGACUAUCAGGCCGCCCUUGUAGUGUGCUGGACUAUUGGUCAACAAUGAGCCGAGAAAGUUACUUAGUACAACAAUUUCGGCGAUAGUAGUGGCUGAGUUGCCGAUCCAAAGGCCUGGCUUAAGAGUGAUCCCGAGCUAUCUGUACCAUCAAGAUCAAGAUCGAGCGUCCAUAUCAGAUGGCGAGUCUGCUUACAAAAUUGCAUCGGAGGGACUGAUAGAGGCAGCCACAAUUAUCCAUCAUCAUCGGCGACACCAUGGCUCUUGAGAAGACAGACAGACCUCGAUGACAGCGUGGUGAGCGAGGAGGGGGAGUCAACCAGCAGAGUAGGGGAGCAUGACCCCUACUUUGAACCAGUGGUGACCUUGCUGGAGGUCUUCGUGGUUAGUGAUGAUGACCAGGAGGAGGAAAUGAUAACACUGAGUUUCGAGGCAGUACAAGCUGUUUCAUUAUCACACCUCUGAGUCGCCCCCACAGUGGAAGGAACGGGGCAUGGGGGCCAUUAACAUUCUGAGGAACAAGCAGAAGAAGGCUGUGGAGUUUGUUCAGUGGCAGAAUUAAUGCCAGUGGCUGAGUUCAGAUCCUCCAAGACACACACACACACACACAGCAGCCCCUCCACCUCCCCACAGCCCUCCACAGUCUCUGACACAGCCCCUGACACAGCAUCUGACACAGGCCCUUCACAGACCACCACAUACCUCACACAUACAUAAGAACAUAAGAAAUAAGGGAAGCUGCAAGAAGCGACCAGGCUUACACGUGGCAGUCCCUGUAUGAAAUAUACCUACUUAUUUCCAUCUGCUAUCCCCAUCCAUAAACUUGUCUAAUCUUCUCUUAAAGCUCUCUAGUGUCCUAGCACUAACUACAUGAUUACUGAGUCCAUUCCACUCAUCUAUCACUCUUUUUGAGAACCAAUUUUUUUCUUAUCUCCUUCCUAAACCUAAAUUUUUUAAGCUUGUACCCAUUAUUUCUUUUUCUACCCUGGUUGCUGAUCCUAAGAAUUUUGCCUACAUCCCCCUUAUGUCACUCAAAGACUUCUAUCAGGUCCCCUCUUAACCUACGUAUCUCUAAAGAAUGUAAAUUUAACAGCUUCAACCUCGCCUCGUAAGGAAUACUCCUCAUCCCCUGUAUCCUUUUAGUCAUUCUCCUCUGUACUGAUUCUAAUAGACCUAUAUCUUUCCUGUAAUGUGGGGACCAGAACUGCACAGCGUAGUCUAGAUGAGGUCUGACCAGCGCCAAGUAUAACUUUAAUAUUACUUCCGGCCUUCUACUUUUAACACUCCUAAAAAUCACACGCACCACAGGAGCCUCACAAACAGUCUGACAGCCUUCACAAGCAGCCCCACACUCCACCACAGACACACCAGACCCACAGCCCUUCACCUCACCCACUUCCCAGCCCCCCACAGCCCCCCAGCCACCACAAAUGAAGUCAAAGGAAGGGACUGUGGCUUCACCCAGCCAGCCAGGACAGCCUACAAAGAGGGGGUAGUCCCAGUCAAGUCACAAAAUAUAGGCUUGGUUCUUCCUACAGUUUGAAGUCAAUGAUUGGACAGGUGGAAAGGCCAGACAGCUUAGUGGCAGAGCUGCAGGUGGCCCUCGUCAGCUUCCUGGUGGCACAGGUGUAGGAUGGCUGGGAGCAGUGGAGGUGCCUGAUGGGGCAGCUGUGCCGGGCAGAGGGGCUGCUACUGCUGCUGGGGAGAGCCACACUUGUAUGGUGGUAACACGGAGAGGAAGUGGAAGAAACCUUGGGACGCUCCCAUAACUCAGGAGCAAGAAUUACACCUUACUGGAACCUUGUGACUGACAGGUGGUGGUGACUGCAGGAACCAAUUCAGGUGAACAUUGUGUUUUGUUGCUACACUUGAGAAUCCUCUAUCCUAAAUACAAAAUUGGCAAACUUUUUUUUAUUUUCUGGCCAAUCCUGUUUACCUUGAGGGCAUGACCUGUACUCUGCCAGAAACUUUAUUCCCUGGCCAAUUAUUAUUAUUAUUUUUUUUUUAUAUUACCUUGAGGGCAUGACCUGUACUCUCAGAAAGAUUGCCUGAAACUUUAUUUCCUGGCCAAUUAUUAUUAUUUUUUUUAUAUUACCUUGAGGGCAUGACCUGUACUCUCUGAAAGGUUGGCAAACAAAGAUACUAUUGACAUGUCAUUAUGUUCAAGAUUGUACACAAGAUGGAAUACUGAAUGUUUAUUGUUUUACUGUGAAUGUUAAGUGAAUAAUAAAUACACAACAGGAUAAUAAACAUG